GGUGUCCUACGGGACGCAGCAGUGAGGAAUAUUGGUCAAUGGUCGGGAGACUGAACCAGCCACGCCGCGUGAGGGAUGAAGGUACAGAGUAUCGUAACCCUCUUUUGUCAGGGAACAAAGGCGGGGACGCGUCCCCGGAUGAGUGUACCUGAAGAAAAAGCAUCGGCUAACUCCGUGCCAGCAGCCGCGGUAAUACGGAGGAUGCGGGCGUUAUCCGGAUUUAUUGGGUUUAAAGGGUGCGCAGGCGGUCUGUUAAGUCAGCGGUCAAAGCCCGGGGCUCACCCCCGGCCCGCCGUUGAAACUGG
Molecule: ribosomal RNA, 305 nt
Filed under: uncultured bacterium
Lineage: Bacteria
Description: bacterial SSU rRNA
Rfam family: Bacterial small subunit ribosomal RNA
Source: RNAcentral